UGACGGUACCUAACAAGAAAGCCACGGCUAACUACGUGCCAGCAGCCGCGGUAAAACGUAGGUGGCAAGCGUUGUCCGGAAUUACUGGGUGUAAAGGGAGCGCAGGCGGGUCGACAAGUUGGAAGUGAAAACUAUGGGCUCAACCCAUAGCCUGCUUUCAAAACUGCCGAUCUUGAGUACUGUAGAGGUAGAUGGAAUUCCCGGUGUAGCGGUGGAAUGCGUAGAUAUCGGGAGGAACACCAGUGGCGAAGGCGAUCUACUGGGCAGCAACUGACGCUGAGGCUCGAAAGCAUGGGUAGCAAACAGGAUUAGAUACCCUG
This 320-nucleotide ribosomal RNA is filed under the name uncultured bacterium. Its description in RNAcentral is "bacterial SSU rRNA". It matches the Rfam family "Bacterial small subunit ribosomal RNA", at positions 470 to 789 of the family's 1533-position model. The record is from RNAcentral.